GAUGAACGCUGGCGGCGUGCCUAAUACAUGCAAGUCGAGCGAACAGAUGAGGAGCUUGCUCCUCUGACGUUAGCGGCGGACGGGUGAGUAACACGUGGAUAACCUACCUAUAAGACUGGGAUAACUUCGGGAAACCGGAGCUAAUACCGGAUAAUAUAUUGAACCGCAUGGUUCAAUAGUGAAAGACGGUUUUGCUGUCACUUAUAGAUGGAUCCGCGCCGCAUUAGCUAGUUGGUAAGGUAACGGCUUACCAAGGCAACGAUGCGUAGCCGACCUGAGAGGGUGAUCGGCCACACUGGAACUGAGACACGGUCCAGACUCCUACGGGAGGCAGCAGUAGGGAAUCUUCGGCAAUGGGCGAAAGCCUGACGGAGCAACGCCGCGUGAGUGAUGAAGGUCUUCGGAUCGUAAAACUCUGUUAUUAGGGAAGAACAAAUGUGUAAGUAACUAUGCACGUCUUGACGGUACCUAAUCAGAAAGCCACGGCUAACUACGUG
RNAcentral lists this ribosomal RNA (497 nucleotides) under uncultured bacterium. Its description in RNAcentral is "partial 16S ribosomal RNA". It matches the Rfam family "Bacterial small subunit ribosomal RNA", at positions 28 to 507 of the family's 1533-position model. The record is from RNAcentral.